RNAcentral lists this ribosomal RNA (468 nucleotides) under uncultured Diaphorobacter sp. RNAcentral's name for it is "bacterial SSU rRNA". It matches the Rfam family "Bacterial small subunit ribosomal RNA", at positions 910 to 1382 of the family's 1533-position model. The record is from RNAcentral. Lineage: Bacteria; Pseudomonadati; Pseudomonadota; Betaproteobacteria; Burkholderiales; Comamonadaceae.
UUGACGGGACCCGCACAAGCGGUGGAUGGUGUGGCUUAAUUCGAUGCAACGCGAAAAACCUUACCCACCUUUGACAUGGCAGGAAGUAUUCAGAGAUGGAUACGUGCCCGAAAGGGAACCUGCACACAGGUGCUGCAUGGCUGUCGUCAGCUCGUGUCGUGAGAUGUUGGGUUAAGUCCCGCAACGAGCGCAACCCUUUGCCAUUAGUUGCUACGAAAGGGCACUCUAAUGGGACUGCCGGUGACAAACCGGGGAAGGUGGGGAUGACGUCAAGUCCUCAUGGCCCUUAUAGGUGGGGCUACACACGUCAUACAAUGGCUGGUACAGAGGGUUGCCAACCCGCGAGGGGGAGCUAAUCCCAUAAAGCCAGUCGUAGUCCGGAUCGCAGUCUGCAACUCGACUGCGUGAAGUCGGAAUCGCUAGUAAUCGCGGAUCAGAAUGUCGCGGUGAAUACCGUUCCCGGGUCUU